RNAcentral lists this ribosomal RNA (239 nucleotides) under Plasmodium malariae. RNAcentral describes it as "partial small subunit ribosomal RNA". Lineage: Eukaryota; Apicomplexa; Aconoidasida; Haemosporida; Plasmodiidae. The record is from RNAcentral.
UUUUUUUAAGGAUAGGUUCGGAAAAGAAGUAGCUAAUACAAGCCUUAAUACUUUUACUUCUGUAUGUUUUUUGAGUAUGUAUUUGUUAAGCCCUAUAAGAGAAAAGAGUAUUAACUGAAGGAAUUAUAACAAAUAACUAACACUUAAUUUAUUUCAUUUUAUUUGUUGUGUAUCAAUCUCGUUCCUGACCUAUCUUCUUGUGAUGUUAUGGUAUUGGCCUGGCAUGGCUAUGACAGGUA